Molecule: long non-coding RNA, 493 nt
Filed under: Cicer arietinum (chickpea)
Lineage: Eukaryota; Viridiplantae; Streptophyta; Magnoliopsida; Fabales; Fabaceae
Description: long non-coding RNA (CARI_LNC000953)
Source: RNAcentral
AUAACAUUAUUACAACUAGUCCUUAAGACAGAUCUAUCUAUAUAUGUACCCCACAAUAUAACAAAUUCAUACCGUAUGCACCUUUCCUGGAAGAAAGCAUCUUAAUGUUUUGAUUGCUUCAUCAAAGACAGAGAAGCUAAAAACAGAAAAAACAAAUAAACUAAGGUGAGUUGCUAUAAUGGUGUACAUACAAUAUUAUUAAUUAAUUCUUGUUCUUUUAUAUAUCAUUAUCUGAUGUAUAAAGUGUGUGUUAUUUUAUUAGCUAUAAAGAUGAUUUCUCCAUCAAGUCCACUGAAUAUUAACAACAUGGGAUUAGAAGAGAAAAAAAUGGAAAUUGAAAGAGAUUAUAAUCAAGAGUUAGAAGAUAAGUUACCAGUGGUAGUAGGUGAUGAAUUAAUAGAAUCAGAUGAAUCAUGGAGACAACACAUAACAGUGAGAGGAUUGUUUGUGAGUAUGAUGCUUGGCAUAAUCUACAGCAUAAUAGCAAUGAAAC